Long non-coding RNA from Syngnathoides biaculeatus (alligator pipefish), 2197 nucleotides. RefSeq lists it as uncharacterized. The transcript has 9 exons. The record is from RefSeq and is a predicted model, not a curated record. Lineage: Eukaryota; Metazoa; Chordata; Actinopteri; Syngnathiformes; Syngnathidae.
GAUUUUCGAGUAAACAAUGAUGUCCCACUAAUAUGCAUUUUUGGGGUGGGUUGAUGCCAAACCGAAGUAUGGGGAAGUAAUUCUAGAGUACUGUACUGUGUCGUACUUUGUCCCCCCCUGCUGUACGGAGUGCUCCUACAUCAAUUUAAGUCAACAUGGCUUUCUUCAUUGGCGGCUAGCUGUGCUAAGAUUGCUAUCUAGCUAGCUGGAUGAUUUGAGCUAACCAGGUGCCUCUGAACGCUUCCUGCCCUAGCGUUCCUUGUCCAUUUCUUCCGAGGUGUUGAAUCCGGCAUGGCAACAGCGCAAACAAAAAUCCCACCCCGCCACACACCCGCCACAACACAAAGAGGUGCUUUGGACAACAACGAGGACCUCAGGCGGAGCUCAGAGAAAACAGGACCUUUCAAGCGCUCACCUCCAGCGGGUUAUGUGACCAGAAGGGACAUCAAGCGACUUUUUCCUCCGGUCAUGCAAAUCAAUCCCUCUAGAUCUCUGUGGCGACGUGGAGACGACAGUGGAAGCGCGGCGAGCACUUCCGGUUUGAUCGAAUGUUGUCGCACAUGGCGCCGUUCAAGCUAGCACCUCUACUGGCUAACGACCCUCACGCACUCGCGGAAACAUGAAUGGAAACAAGUGCAACGUUUUCUACAGCAACACGCAGGUGAGAGCGCGGCGCGUGCAGCAGAAUCACGCGUCAGAUGCGCUCAGACUUGCGUCAUGUGGAGGAGGAGAUGGAGGUGGAGAACGAUAUGGCCGCCCUGAAUCAUCUGCUUCCAUUCAUGAUUGCCACAGAGCGCAUCUGAAGAGGUCUUGUUAUUGAGAGUGGCGCCCGGUGACAUCUGCACCAGCAGACAGAUCUCUCCAGAUAAAAUGGAUCUCAUGGCAACCGGGUCGCCAUGGCAACCGGGACAGAUGCCAGGCUGAGUUUGCAAAACCACGGACAUCAUUGAAAUCUAAUUAGAGAGCAUCCUUCCUUUCUUUUGCUUCACUCGUUUGUGGAUUUAUGGAAUUUUUCCACGUGGCAGUCCAGGGGCCGAACUACAGCAGUCUCUUGAAAGUGGUUACGGAUAUUCACCCAGCCAAGAUGAUCAUGUCAUAAAGCGGAUUCACCCAGUAAGGAUGCAAUUAUUAUUAUUAUUGUUAGCUCACAGUCUAUUGACUUUUGAUUAAUUUCAGACAUGAUUUUUGGGCAGGCACUCAGAGACUGCCGCUAUUUGCAUAAAUCUCUUAAAGUAUACAUUUCCAUGAAAUGUCAUUUUAAAGGGGCCAUUUUUGAAAAUGAUAUUUGCAAUCGUGCGCACCGCGGGUCAUGUUUCCUCAAAGCGGAUUAUGUAACAUGACCUCAAUGGCUCACCAACAAAAUAAAUAACUUUGCUAAGACUUGAACGUAAAUUUCACUUUACAGCUUUUGGCGGCGCCCCCGAAACCGCGGAAGUAGUAAUUUUGUUUUAAAAUACCGCCGUAAAUAACCAGCUCCACGUCUCUUAUUCAGGCUGUCAGCGCUUUGAUCACCCAGACAUCACUAAUCGACUGUUUUUUUUUUUUUUUUUUAAAUCACCGAUCCUUGAAUAGAGUCACUGAUUAGGAGUUAUGCGCAUGUGUGAAUGAGGUUUUUUUUUUUUCUCUCAUUAUUUUUCUUUUUCAUUUUUUUUUCUCCUUCGCCCGACUGAGACGAGUUGAAAGUCACAGCAACGAGGGAGCAGAGAAAUUUCUAGGUCGGAGGCGAGGGCGUUUGAGAAGCGAACCACUUGGGACCCGACGUGAAUCGGAGAGCGCCGUAAUCCCUUGGGGGAGAAUGGUGGUGGUGGUGGUGGGGGGGGGGGUUUACCUAUAUGCGUCAUAUAAUAUGCAGCAUGUAAGGAUUUGCAUCAAUUUUUUUUUUGUCUCCAAGAUGUAAAUGAGUAGCUCACAAAUGUGUUGCACCUCGCAAAGAAUUAUGAAGCGCAGUGAAAUGCGGACUGGCUCACUCCCGCCGAGCUCUCAAUUUGAAAUUAUGAUUUUCAAACUUAAUUAAUCUUUUUGUAUCCCCAUAUCAUUAACAAGUACUAAAUUGGUGGCACGGUGGAUCAGCUGGUAAAGUGUUGGCCUCACAGUUCUGAGGUCCUGGGUUCAAUCCCAGCCCUGCCUGUGUGGAGUUUGCAUGUCCUCCCUGUGCCUGCGUGGGUUUUCUCCGGGCAUUUCGGUUUCCUCCUACAUU